This 428-nucleotide ribosomal RNA is filed under the name uncultured bacterium. RNAcentral describes it as "partial 16S ribosomal RNA". It matches the Rfam family "Bacterial small subunit ribosomal RNA", at positions 354 to 796 of the family's 1533-position model. The record is from RNAcentral.
GUAGGGAAUAUUGCGCAAUGGACGAAAGUCUGACGCAGCGACGCCGCGUGAGUGAUGAAGGCCUUAGGGUCGUAAAGCUCUGUUGAAUGGGAAGAAAAAAAUGACGGUACCAUUCGAGGAAGGACCGGCUAACUUCGUGCCAGCAGCCGCGGUAAUACGAGGGGUCCUAGCGUUGUUCGGAAUCAUUGGGCGUAAAGGGUGUGUAGGUGGCCAUGUAAGUCAGGUGUGAAAGCCCCGGGCUCAACCCGGGAAGUGCACUUGAUACUGCGUGGCUUGAGUACCGAAGAGGGUAGUGGAAUUCUAGGUGUAGUGGUGAAAUACGUAGAUAUCUGGAGGAACACCGGUGGCGAAGGCGGCUACCUGGUCGAGUACUGACACUGAGACACGAAAGCAUGGGGAUCAAACAGGAUUAGAAACCCUGGUAGUCC